UCUCUCUCCUCCCUUUUCUAUGAUCUGGGUUUUAAUUUCACUACUUUUCUUUCACCUUUUGCUGUUCGACCGUGCUCAAAGCUAAGGUUUCACUUUUGUUUCCUCAAAACUCAUCUGCUGCUGGUGGUGUUAGCCGUGAACGGAAACGAGGUGUUCCAUGGACGGAAGAUGAACAUAAGUUAAUUUUGCUUGGAUUGAGUAAGGUAGGUGAAGGUGAUUGGCGAGGAAUUUUCUCAAAACUCGAACUCCAGUGCAAGUUGCCGGUCAUGCUCAGAAAUACUUUCCCCGACGAAAUAGUCUCAAUCGCCGCCGUCGUAUAUCUAACCUCUUCGAUUUCACCAUCGAUUCGGUAUUAUUUCUUGAUUCCUUCAAAACAUCAUUCGAUUUCCUCCAUUAGAGCUGAGGUAAGCUGUUUCUUUUCUGUUUCUAUCAAUGAUGAAUUGUAAUGGUUCCGAUGAUUGAAUUUUGUUUAUAUACAUGUAAAUUUAAAUUCUGAAGCAUAAAUUUGGUAUUUUGUAUUUAAAGGAAUCUUGAGGGUUCUUCCACUUUUUGAACCUCUUUUGAUUUCUUGAUUAUACAUUUUAAAUUUUGAUUUGAAUUUCUUUAAUUUAAUUGAUUUAUUAUGGUCGUGGUCAGAUGGCUUUUUGCUGCUGCUCAUGGGACGACUCUGGAUGUCUAACUUUUCUUACAAUCCCGGAGUGAUUCCUUAUGGAAACCAACUGCUUGAAGAGGGAAAAUUUGUGAGUCGUGAAGUAGUUUAGAACUAUUUUAUAAACAUGUAGAUUACCUAAUUGAUUUGAUUAAUUUUGUUUUAAGUUUCUCAAAUUUAAUUGGUUCAGGGUUUCUGAUGAGUUUUUUUUUUUUGAUUUGCAUCUUAUGAGGAGUAUUUCGGCCUUUUGUCUCUAAACACAGCUGCUGAGUAUAGAACGGUUGCUCUUGCUGGAUCCAUUUGAUGAGUCUUUUCCCCAAAUCCAUGAUUCUAUGUUUGUGAUCAGGGAAACCAUUAAAGGAAUCAUCAGAACUGAAACCUGUGGCCAAGAAGCCUGCAACUCAGGCCAAGGUUCCUUUUGAAAAAGGUUUUAGUCCAAUGGAUUGGGUCAAGCUUACUCGUACGCAUCCUGACCUUGCAGGAUUGAAUGGCCAGUCAAAUAGGAGGCUUAUACCUAUGAGUGAAGUCAAACAACAUCAAUAAGAAGGCACCAUGUGGACAGUUGUGCAUGGACGUGUGUAUAACAUUUCUCCAUACAUGAAAUUUCACCCUGGAGGAAGAAGCCCUAGAAUGGAAGAGAUGCCGGAGAGCGUACGGAGCAGUUUGGGACAUAGCAAAUCCACCAAGGGGUCCUCUAAUAGUGACGCUCUUCUUAGAUGGAAGUGUAAGUAAGAGAGCUAGAUGGGUUUUGGUUCCUAAAUUCAUCCUUACUUAUUGGCAAGCUGGUGUUGCUUAUGAUACUUCUAUUAAACUUAAAUAGAUAAUUUAGGGCUACUUUAUUCAUGUUUAAUUAAUUAUAUAUAUGCUGGAUUCUUAAUUAAGAUCAUGAAUCAUUGUAUGAUUUUGUGGAGCAAUCCUACUUAAUUAAUUUUUUUUUUGUUUUAUUUUAAAAGCCACAAUUGGCAUCUUUAAUGAGUGAGGGGUUUGUACUUUGUAUUGUAUACUUGUAUUGUGUGAGAACCAUGCGUACUUUAAAUCGUUAGUUUAAUUCUGCCAUGACUG
Chenopodium quinoa (quinoa) is the source of this 1711-nucleotide long non-coding RNA. RefSeq lists it as uncharacterized. The transcript has 6 exons. NCBI's taxonomy places the organism in Eukaryota, Viridiplantae, Streptophyta, Magnoliopsida, Caryophyllales, Amaranthaceae. The record is from RefSeq and is a predicted model, not a curated record.